AGAGCGAACGGCUGGCGGCAGGCCUAAUACAUGCAAGUCGAGCGGUCCCUUCGGGGGGCAGCGGCGGACGGGUGAGUAACGCGUGGAACGUGCCCUUUGGUACGGAACAACUGAGGGAAACUUCAGCUAAUACCGUAUGUGCCCUUCGGGGGAAAAGAUUUAUCGCUAUACGAGCGGCCGAUGUCAGAUUAGCUAGUUGGUAGGGUAAAGGCCUACCAAGGCGACGAUCUGUAGCGGGUCUGAGAGGAUGAUCCGCCACACUGGGACUGAGACACGGCCCAGACUCCUACGGGAGGCAGCAGUGGGGAAUUUUGGACAAUGGGCGAAAGCCUGAUCCAGCCAUGCCGCGUGAGUGAAGAAGGCCUUCGGGUUGUAAAGCUCUUUCGGCUGGGAAGAAAUCGCACAGGCUAAUACUCUGUGUGGAUGACGGUACCAGCACAAGAAGCACCGGCUAACUACGUG
RNAcentral lists this ribosomal RNA (462 nucleotides) under uncultured bacterium. Its description in RNAcentral is "bacterial SSU rRNA". It matches the Rfam family "Bacterial small subunit ribosomal RNA", at positions 35 to 507 of the family's 1533-position model. The record is from RNAcentral.